This 76-nucleotide transfer RNA is filed under the name Candidatus Poribacteria bacterium. RNAcentral's name for it is "tRNA-Asn". It matches the Rfam family "tRNA". From Rfam's summary of the family: Transfer RNA (tRNA) molecules are approximately 80 nucleotides in length. Their secondary structure includes four short double-helical elements and three loops (D, anti-codon, and T loops). The record is from RNAcentral. Lineage: Bacteria; Candidatus Poribacteria.
UCUCCCGUAGCUCAGUUGGUAGAGCAGGUGGCUGUUAACCACUUUGUCGGCGGUUCGAGUCCGUCCGGGAGAGCCA